Molecule: ribosomal RNA, 254 nt
Filed under: uncultured bacterium
Lineage: Bacteria
Description: partial 16S ribosomal RNA
Rfam family: Bacterial small subunit ribosomal RNA
Source: RNAcentral
UACGUAGGGUGCGAGCGUUGUCCGGAAUUAUUGGGCGUAAAGAGCUCGUAGGCGGUGUGUCACGUCGGCCGUGAAAACCUGGGGCUUAACUCUGGGCGUGCGGUCGAUACGGGCAUCACUAGAGUUCGGCAGGGGAGACUGGAAUUCCUGGUGUAGCGGUGAAAUGCGCAGAUAUCGGGAGGAACACCGGUGGCGAAGGCGGUUCUCUGGGCCUGUACUGACGCUGAGGAGCGAAAGCGUGGGGAGCGAACAGG